Molecule: ribosomal RNA, 253 nt
Filed under: uncultured bacterium
Lineage: Bacteria
Description: partial 16S ribosomal RNA
Rfam family: Bacterial small subunit ribosomal RNA
Source: RNAcentral
UACAGAGGUCCCGAGCGUUGUUCGGAUUCACUGGGCGUAAAGGGUGCGUAGGUGGCUUGGUAAGUUUGAUGUGAAAGCUCAGGGCUCAACCCUGAAAUGGCAUUGAAUACUACUGAGCUGGAGGUUUGGAGGGGGGACUGGAAUUCUCGGUGUAGCAGUGAAAUGCGUAGAUAUCGAGGGGAACACCAGUGGCGAAGGCGAGUCCCUGGACAACACCUGACACUGAGGCACGAAAGCUAGGGGAGCAAACAGG